This 302-nucleotide ribosomal RNA is filed under the name uncultured bacterium. RNAcentral describes it as "partial 16S ribosomal RNA". It matches the Rfam family "Bacterial small subunit ribosomal RNA", at positions 508 to 807 of the family's 1533-position model. The record is from RNAcentral.
GCAGUAGCCGCGGUAAAACGGAGGGGGCUAGCGUUGUUCGGAAUUACUGGGCGUAAAGCGCACGUAGGCGGCUUGGUAAGUUAGAGGUGAAAGCCCGGAGCUCAACUCCGGAAUUGCCUUUAAGACUGCCGAGCUAGUAGGUGAGAGAGGUAAGUGGAAUUCCGAGUGUAGAGGUGAAAUUCGUAGAUAUUCGGAAGAACACCAGUGGCGAAGGCGGCUUACUGGCUCAUUCUAGACGCUGAGGUGCGAAAGCGUGGGGAGCAAACAGGAUUAGAUACCCCUGUAGUCCCUGUCUCUUAUAC